Non-coding RNA from Pelobates cultripes (western spadefoot toad), 236 nucleotides. NCBI's taxonomy places the organism in Eukaryota, Metazoa, Chordata, Amphibia, Anura, Pelobatidae. The record is from the annotation of a GenBank genome assembly.
GGGUGACUAGUGAGAGUGAGGAAGGGGGUGACACAGUGAAAGAGUGAGGAAGGGGGUGACACAGUGAGGAAGGGGGUGACACAGUGACAGAGUGAAGGGGGUGGUGACUGUCACUAGUCACCCCAUCCCUCCCUCUGUCACUAAUCACCACCUCCCUCACUCUGUCACUAGUCACCCCUUCCCUCCCUCACUCUGUCACUAGUCACCCCCUCCCUCUCUCUGUCACUAGUCACCCC